GUGCCAGCAGCCGCGGUAAUACCAGCUCUCCGAGUGGUAGGGACGAUUAUUGGGCUUAAAGCGUCCGUAGCCGGCUUAGCAAGUCUCCUGUUAAAUUCAGCGACCUAAUCGUUGAGCCGCGGGAGAUACUACUAGGCUAGGAGGCGGGAGAGGUCGACGGUACUUCCGGGGUAGGGGUGAAAUCCUAUAAUCCCGGGAGGACCACCAGUGGCGAAGGCUGUCGACUAGAACGCGCUCGACGGUGAGGGACGAAAGCUGGGGGAGCGAACCGGAUUAGAUACCCGGGUAGUCCCAGCCGUAAACGAUGCGGGCUAGGUGUUGGAGUGGCUACGUGCCACUUCAGUGCCGCAGGGAAGCCAUUAAGCCCGCCGCCUGGGGAGUACACUCGCAAGGGUGAAACUUAAAUGAAUUGACGGGG
RNAcentral lists this ribosomal RNA (418 nucleotides) under uncultured prokaryote. Its description in RNAcentral is "bacterial SSU rRNA". It matches the Rfam family "Archaeal small subunit ribosomal RNA", at positions 455 to 873 of the family's 1478-position model. The record is from RNAcentral.